Molecule: ribosomal RNA, 459 nt
Filed under: uncultured Turicibacter sp.
Lineage: Bacteria; Bacillati; Bacillota; Erysipelotrichia; Erysipelotrichales; Turicibacteraceae
Description: partial 16S ribosomal RNA
Rfam family: Bacterial small subunit ribosomal RNA
Source: RNAcentral
ACGGAAGGCAGCAGUAGGGAAUUUUCGGCAAUGGGGGAAACCCUGACCGAGCAAUGCCGCGUGAAUGAUGAAAUUCUUCGGAAUGUAAAGUUCUGUUAUAAGGGACGAAUGUAUAAUUUAGGAAAUGAUUUUAUAUUGACGGUACCUUACUAGAAAGCUCCGGCUAACUAUGUGCCAGCAGCCGCGGUAAUACAUAGGGAGCAAGCGUUAUCCGGAUUUAUUGGGCGUAAAGAGUGCGUAGGCUGCUAUUUAAGUCUGCUUUGAAAUCCCAUGGCUUAACCAUGGUGGGUGAGUGGAAACUGGAUAGCUUGAAUGCAGCAGAGGUAAGUGGAAUUCCAUGUGUAGCGGUAAAAUGCUUAGAUAUAUGGAGGAACACCAGUGGCGAAGGCGGCUUACUGGGCUGUGAUUGACGCUGAGGCACGAAAGCGUGGGGAGCAAACAGGAUUAGAUACCCUGGUA